This 231-nucleotide long non-coding RNA is filed under the name Rattus norvegicus (Norway rat). Its description in RNAcentral is "long non-coding RNA NONRATT024277". The record is from RNAcentral. Lineage: Eukaryota; Metazoa; Chordata; Mammalia; Rodentia; Muridae.
GGGACUGCGGGCUGUGGAGCCUCCCUACGUCUGUGAGCCGACCCAGACAGGAAUGCUGUGCUCACUAACAAGGGGCUUUCAUACCAGAUAUGAGGUACAGAGUUGGUAAGAAAAGAAUCACUUCCUUCCUCUUUUCCCAGAAGAAAUAUACCAUGUAUCUUUAUUAUAGUAGCAUGUGGCUUUCUUCUAACUAAAGAAACUCAUAAAAUUGUUAUGAAUGUGAAAUAAACA